GACGAACGCUGGCGGCGUGCUUAACACAUGCAAGUCGAACGGAAAGGCCCUGCUUGCAGGGUACUCGAGUGGCGAACGGGUGAGUAACACGUGGGUGAUCUGCCCUGCACUUCGGGAUAAGCCUGGGAAACUGGGUCUAAUACCGGAUAGGAGCCAUUUUCGUGUGAUGGUUGGAAAGUUUUUUCGGUGUAGGAUGAGCUCGCGGCCUAUCAGCUUGUUGGUGGGGUAAUGGCCUACCAAGGCGGCGACGGGUAGCCGGCCUGAGAGGGUGGACGGCCACAUUGGGACUGAGAUACGGCCCAGACUCCUACGGGAGGCAGCAGUGGGGAAUAUUGCACAAUGGGCGCAAGCCUGAUGCAGCGACGCCGCGUGGGGGAUGACGGCCUUCGGGUUGUAAACUCCUUUCGCUAGGGACGAAGCUUUUUGUGACGGUACCUAGAUAAGAAGCACCGGCUAACUACGUG
RNAcentral lists this ribosomal RNA (464 nucleotides) under uncultured bacterium. RNAcentral describes it as "partial 16S ribosomal RNA". It matches the Rfam family "Bacterial small subunit ribosomal RNA", at positions 28 to 507 of the family's 1533-position model. The record is from RNAcentral.